GGCUCAGGAUGAACGCUAGCUACAGGCUUAACACAUGCAAGUCGAGGGGCAGCAUGAUCAAAGCUUGCUUUGAUUGAUCGGCGACCGGCGCACGGGUGAGUAACGCGUAUCCAACCUUCCCUAUAGUAGUGGGUACGCCCGGCGAAAGUCGGAUUAAUACACUAUGUUGUAUUUAGAGGACAUCUGAAGAAUACCAGAGGCUUGCCGCUAUAGGAUGGGGAUGCGUCUGAUUAGAUAGUAGGCGGGGUAACGGCCCACCUAGUCGACGAUCAGUAGGGGUUCUGAGAGGAAGGUCCCCCACAUUGGAACUGAGACACGGUCCAAACUCCUACGGGAGGCAGCAGUGAGGAAUAUUGGUCAAUGGACGGGAGUCUGAACCAGCCAAGUAGCGUGCAGGAUGACGGCCCUAUGGGUUGCAAACUGCUUUUAUACGGGGACAAAGUGAGCCACGUGUGGCUUUUUGUAGGUACCGUAUGAAUAAGGACCGGCUAAUUCCGUGCCAGCAGCAGC
This 510-nucleotide ribosomal RNA is filed under the name uncultured bacterium. Its description in RNAcentral is "bacterial SSU rRNA". It matches the Rfam family "Bacterial small subunit ribosomal RNA", at positions 21 to 518 of the family's 1533-position model. The record is from RNAcentral.